UUGGCUGUGAUGGAAUUUUACUACCUAUUUUCUGAUAGGGAGUUUUCUCUCUUCUGAUUGAAGAUAAUACCAAUGGAUCCUUCUGAGCCU
This 90-nucleotide small nucleolar RNA is filed under the name Zostera marina. Lineage: Eukaryota; Viridiplantae; Streptophyta; Magnoliopsida; Alismatales; Zosteraceae. The record is from RNAcentral.